Aotus nancymaae (Ma's night monkey) is the source of this 98-nucleotide microRNA precursor. NCBI's taxonomy places the organism in Eukaryota, Metazoa, Chordata, Mammalia, Primates, Aotidae. The record is from Ensembl.
UUGAGCGAGAGAUUGUGGCGCACGGAGUUCUUCCAGCCCUGGUAGGCGCCGCGGAAGAAGGGGAAGCGCGCCUGCAGGAACUGGUAGAUCUCGCUGAG